This is a non-coding RNA of Schistosoma curassoni, 46 nucleotides long. The record is from Rfam. Lineage: Eukaryota; Metazoa; Platyhelminthes; Trematoda; Strigeidida; Schistosomatidae.
GCACUACUGAGAAGUCUCAAAAUAGGACGAAACAGCUGUCCAGUGC